Molecule: ribosomal RNA, 462 nt
Filed under: uncultured bacterium
Lineage: Bacteria
Description: partial 16S ribosomal RNA
Rfam family: Bacterial small subunit ribosomal RNA
Source: RNAcentral
GACGAACGCUGGCGGCGUGCUUAACACAUGCAAGUCGAGCGGUAAGGCCUUUCGGGGUACACGAGCGGCGAACGGGUGAGUAACACGUGGGUGAUCUGCCCUGCACUUCGGGAUAAGCCUGGGAAACUGGGUCUAAUACCGGAUAUGACCUCCUAUCGCAUGGUGGGUGGUGGAAAGAUUUAUCGGUGCAGGAUGGGCCCGCGGCCUAUCAGCUUGUUGGUGGGGUAAUGGCCUACCAAGGCGACGACGGGUAGCCGACCUGAGAGGGUGACCGGCCACACUGGGACUGAGACACGGCCCAGACUCCUACGGGAGGCAGCAGUGGGGAAUAUUGCACAAUGGGCGAAAGCCUGAUGCAGCGACGCCGCGUGAGGGAUGACGGCCUUCGGGUUGUAAACCUCUCUCAGCAGGGACGAAGCGCAAGUGACGGUACCUGCAGAAGAAGCACCGGCUAACUACGUG